This 499-nucleotide ribosomal RNA is filed under the name uncultured marine eukaryote. RNAcentral's name for it is "bacterial SSU rRNA". It matches the Rfam family "Eukaryotic small subunit ribosomal RNA", at positions 1 to 512 of the family's 1831-position model. The record is from RNAcentral.
AACCUGGUUGAUCCUGCCAGUAGUCAUACGCUCGUCUAAAAGAUUAAGCCAUGCAUGUCUAAGUAUAAAUGCUUUAUACUGUGAAACUGCGAAUGGCUCAUUAUAUCAGUUAUAGUUUAUUUGAUAGUACCUUACUACUUGGAUAACCGUAGUAAUUCUAGAGCUAAUACAUGCGUAAAGUCCCGAUGGGAUGUAUUUAUUAGAUCGAAACCAAUGCGCUUCGGCGGUAUUUUGGUGAGUCAUAAUAACUGUGCGGAUCGUAUGGCCUUGUGCCGACGAUGAAUCAUUCAAGUUUCUGCCCUAUCAGUUUCGAUGGUAGGAUAUUGGCCUACCAUGGCGUUAACGGGUAACGGAGAAUUAGGGUUCGAUUCCGGAGAGGGAGCCUGAGAAACGGCUACCACAUCUAAGGAAGGCAGCAGGCGCGUAAAUUACCCAAUCCUGACUCAGGGAGGUAGUGACAAGAAAUAACGGACCGAAGCCUUCGGGGCUUCGGGAUUGC